GCCUUCGGGGUGUAGUGGUCAGCACGCUGGGCGCGUAUUCCAGAGGUCCAUAGUUCGAGUCCCGGCGAAAGCA
This 73-nucleotide transfer RNA is filed under the name Stegodyphus mimosarum. It matches the Rfam family "tRNA". Rfam says of the family: Transfer RNA (tRNA) molecules are approximately 80 nucleotides in length. Their secondary structure includes four short double-helical elements and three loops (D, anti-codon, and T loops). Lineage: Eukaryota; Metazoa; Arthropoda; Arachnida; Araneae; Eresidae. The record is from Rfam by way of RNAcentral.